GCGGCGCCGGGUCGACGACGUGGACCGUCAGCCGUGCCCCGGCGGGGAGCAGCUCCGGCGCGGAGGCGCAGAGGCGUUCCAGGACGCUGGUGCCGCGC
This 98-nucleotide transfer RNA is filed under the name Streptomyces aurantiogriseus. RNAcentral's name for it is "tRNA-Gly(gcc)". The record is from RNAcentral. Lineage: Bacteria; Bacillati; Actinomycetota; Actinomycetes; Kitasatosporales; Streptomycetaceae.